Molecule: ribosomal RNA, 1372 nt
Filed under: uncultured organism
Description: 16S ribosomal RNA
Rfam family: Bacterial small subunit ribosomal RNA
Source: RNAcentral
AGUGGCGAAAGGGCGAGGAAUACAUGGAUAACGUGCCUUUGGCAUGGGGACAGCUGAGGGAAACUUCAGGUAAUACCCAAUGAGACCACAGUGCUUUCGGGCACAGGGGUCAAAGAUGGGGCUCCUUCGGGACCUAUCGGCCAUAGAGCGGUCCAUGUCCUAUCAGCUUGUUGGUGAGGUAAUGGCUCACCAAGGCGACGACGGGUACCGGGACUGAGAGGUUGACCCGGCGCAUCGGGACUGAGACACUGCCCGGACUCCUACGGGAGGCUGCAGUAACGAAUAUUGGUCAAUGGGCGAAAGCCUGAACCAGCGACGCCGCGUGUGGGAGGAAGCCCUUCGGGGUGUAAACCACUGUCAGGGAUUACCAAGCAAUGGAGGCUAAUACCCUCCUGCGUUGAGGCGUCCCAGAGGAAGUCACGGCUAACUUCGUGCCAGCAGCCGCGGUAAUACGAAGGUGGCGAGCGUUGUUCGGAAUCACUGGGCUUAAAGAGCACGUAGGCGGACUGCCAAGCGUCUUGUGAAAUCCCCCGGCUCAACCGGGGAAUUGCUGGGCGAACUGGUAGUCUUGAGGCAAGUAGGGGCAGAUGGAACUCUUGGUGGAGCGGUUGGAAUGCGUAGAUAUCAAGAGGAACGCCAGAGGCGAAGGCGAUCUGCUGGGCUUGACCUGACGCUGAGGUGCGAAAGCCAGGGGAGCAACGGGGAUUAGAUACCCCCGGUAUCCUGGCCAUAAACGAUGGUCCACUUAGAUCGGUGAACUUCUGACAGUGUGCCGGUCGAAACCAAAAGCUUUAAGUGGACCGCCUGGGGAGUACGGUCGCAAGGCUGAUAUUCAUUGGUAUUUGUCCGGGGGCUCACACAUGCGUUGGAGCAUGUUGCUUAAUUCGAUGCUACGCGAAGAACCUUAUCCUGGGCUUGACAUGCUUGGAUGCCCAUCUGGUUACAGAGUAGGCUGCCAUUCGGGGUGAAACUUGCACAGGUGCUGCAUGGCUGUCGUCAGCUCGUGUCGUGAGAUGUUGGGUUAAGUCCCGUAACGAGCGAAACCCUUGUCGUUAGUUGCCAGCGCGUAAUGGCGGGGACUCUAGCGAGACUGCCGGUGUUAAACCGGAGGAAGGUGGGGAUGACGUCAAGUCCUCAUGGCCUUUAUGCCCAGGGCUGCAAACGUGCUACAAUGGCGAGGACAAACCGACGCAAAGCCGCGAGGUCGAGCAAAUCGGAGAAACCUUGCCCCAGUUCGGAUUGGAGUCUGCAACUCGACUCCAUGAAGUCGGAAUCGCUAGUAAUCGCGUAUCAGCGUGACGCGGUGAAUAUGUUCCUGAGCCUUGUACACACCGCCCGUCAAGUCAUGGAAGCUGGGAGCGCCCGAAGUCGG